GAUGAACGCUGGCGGCGUGCCUAACACAUGCAAGUCGAACGGAGCUGCUUUGAUGAGAUCUUCGGGUGGAUUUAAAACAGCUUAGUGGCGGACGGGUGAGUAACGCGUGGGUAACCUGCCUCACACUGGGGGAUAACAGUUAGAAAUAGCUGCUAAUACCGCAUAAGCGCACAGUUCCGCAUGGAACAGUGUGAAAAACUCCGGUGGUGUGAGAUGGACCCGNGUCCGAUUAGCUGGUUGGUGAGGUAACGGCCCACCAAGGCGACGAUCGGUAGCCGGACUGAGAGGUUGAACGGCCACAUUGGGACUGAGACACGGCCCAGACUCCUACGGGAGCAGCAGUGGGGAAUAUUGCACAAUGGGGGGAACCCUGAUGCAGCGACGCCGCGUGGAGGAAGAAGGUCUUCGGAUUGUAAACUCCUGUUGUUGAGGAAGAUAAUGACGGUACUCAACAAGGAAGUGACGGCUAACUACGUGCCAGCAG
RNAcentral lists this ribosomal RNA (484 nucleotides) under uncultured bacterium. RNAcentral's name for it is "bacterial SSU rRNA". It matches the Rfam family "Bacterial small subunit ribosomal RNA", at positions 28 to 514 of the family's 1533-position model. The record is from RNAcentral.